RNAcentral lists this transfer RNA (85 nucleotides) under Gammaproteobacteria bacterium. RNAcentral describes it as "tRNA-Tyr". It matches the Rfam family "tRNA". From Rfam's summary of the family: Transfer RNA (tRNA) molecules are approximately 80 nucleotides in length. Their secondary structure includes four short double-helical elements and three loops (D, anti-codon, and T loops). Further hydrogen bonds mediate the characteristic L-shaped molecular structure. tRNAs have two regions of fundamental functional importance: the anti-codon, which is responsible for specific mRNA codon recognition, and the 3' end, to which the tRNAs corresponding amino acid is attached (by aminoacyl-tRNA synthetases). tRNAs cope with the degeneracy of the genetic code in two manners: having more than one tRNA (with a specific anti-codon) for a particular amino acid; and 'wobble' base-pairing, i.e. permitting non-standard base-pairing at the 3rd anti-codon position. Lineage: Bacteria; Pseudomonadati; Pseudomonadota; Gammaproteobacteria. RNAcentral also lists the same sequence under 1 other name. The record is from RNAcentral.
GGAGAGAUUUACGAGUGGUUAAAGUAUGCGGAUUGUAAAUCCGUCGCCCCUGGCUUCGAAGGUUCGAAUCCUUCUCUCUCCACCA